This is a long non-coding RNA of Hydra vulgaris (swiftwater hydra), 701 nucleotides long. RefSeq lists it as uncharacterized. NCBI's taxonomy places the organism in Eukaryota, Metazoa, Cnidaria, Hydrozoa, Anthoathecata, Hydridae. The record is from RefSeq and is a predicted model, not a curated record.
AUGUCUCUGCACGUUAAGUCUAUGGAUGCACGUAAAGUCUACUAUUGCGCUUAAAACAAAUAAAAUGAUUUAAUAAAAACUUGUAUAGUUUGAUGAGCAAACUAUAAAAUUAAUACAAUGUGAUUAGCAAGCUGAAAAAAUUUUAGAGUCUGUUUUGUCAAUUACAACGUUGACCUAACAAACCUUGCCAGAUUGCACUAAACUUAUUAAAAUUUCUAACCGGUUAAGUCAAAAAACUAUCAAUUAUUAUUGAAAAAACUAAACAGAUGCUCUUCUACCCAUAGGCGGACUCAUAGAGGAGCAAUGAAGGUUGUGAUGCAGUGUCUGCGUUUCAAGGAAAAGCUAAACUAUAUCUCCUAAAGACGGCAAAAUUCGCUUAUUUUACAUAUUAAGCGUGCCAAUUAUGAUGCUUACAUUCAAAAAAAUGCAUUGAAAGAAGUUGAGUUUCGCGUGUUCAAAGAUAAACCAUUCCAAAUUCGAGGUGCAGCCAUACAAAAAGAUUUUGAGCCUAAGGAGGUUUUUUGUUGACGACGUGUAAGUUGGCAACUGUCUAAUGAUCUUGUAUUUUGUUUUGAAGUUCGGACUUCUAGGAGUUCAAAUAAAUAUGUAGGAGAUUUAAUAUUUAUAUAUUAUUAAUAAUUCAAAAGAGAAUCUAAACGUUUUCUAUUAGAAAAAACUUUCGAUUUUAAAGAUUUCUUCUA